AUAAAAGCUUUGAUAAAGAGGAGUAGGGUAGAUUCAUAUUAAGAGAGGAAAAUUCAUAGGCUGGAAGGUUUUCUAUAUGAUAUAUUUCGAAUGUAGCUUUUGAGCAUUUUUACUGAAAUUUAUAUAUAAGUUUUACGGAAGCUGAUAGCUUGAGUUACUUAUGUUAUUAGGUAAAAACGGAGUUUCAACCGUUAUUAUAUGAGAGCCCAUUUAGUGGGAAUAAAGGUGGUACCGCGAGUCUUCGUCCUUUGG
This 252-nucleotide non-coding RNA is filed under the name Clostridium oryzae. RNAcentral describes it as "T-box sequence". It matches the Rfam family "T-box leader". Rfam says of the family: Uncharged tRNA acts as the effector for transcription antitermination of genes in the T-box leader family. T-boxes are found upstream of many aminoacyl-tRNA synthetase genes and some amino acid biosynthetic genes usually in Gram-positive bacteria. Lineage: Bacteria; Bacillati; Bacillota; Clostridia; Eubacteriales; Clostridiaceae. The record is from RNAcentral.